Molecule: ribosomal RNA, 468 nt
Filed under: uncultured bacterium
Lineage: Bacteria
Description: partial 16S ribosomal RNA
Rfam family: Bacterial small subunit ribosomal RNA
Source: RNAcentral
GACGAACGCUGGCGGCGUGCUUAACACAUGCAAGUCGAACGGAAAGGCCCUGCUUUUGUGGGGUGCUCGAGUGGCGAACGGGUGAGUAACACGUGAGUAACCUGCCCUUGACUUUGGGAUAACUUCAGGAAACUGGGGCUAAUAUCGGAUAGGAGCUCCUGCUGCAUGGUGGGGGUUGGAAAGUUUCGGCGGUUGGGGAUGGACUCGCGGCUUAUCAGCUUGUUGGUGGGGUAGUGGCUUACCAAGGCUUUGACGGGUAGCCGGCCUGAGAGGGUGACCGGCCACAUUGGGACUGAGAUACGGCCCAGACGCCUACGGGAGGCAGCAGUGGGGAAUAUUGCACAGUGGGCGGAAGCCUGAUGCAGCAACGCCGCGUGCGGGAUGACGGCCUUCGGGUUGUAAACCGCUUUCGCCUGUGACGAAGCGUGAGUGACGGUAAUGGGUAAAGAAGCACCGGCUAACUACGUG